Molecule: ribosomal RNA, 253 nt
Filed under: uncultured bacterium
Lineage: Bacteria
Description: partial 16S ribosomal RNA
Rfam family: Bacterial small subunit ribosomal RNA
Source: RNAcentral
UACGAAGGGGGCUAGCGUUGUUCGGAAUUACUGGGCGUAAAGCGCACGUAGGCGGGUCGUUAAGUCAGGGGUGAAAUCCCAGAGCUCAACUCUGGAACUGCCUUUGAUACUGGCGACCUAGAGUCCGGAAGAGGUUAGUGGAAUUCCCAGUGUAGAGGUGAAAUUCAUAGAUAUUGGGAAGAACACCAGUGGCGAAGGCGGCUAACUGGUCCGGUACUGACGCUGAGGUGCGAAAGCGUGGGGAGCAAACAGG